CAGCACCUCAAGUGGUCAGGAUGAUUAUUGGGCCUAAAGCAUCCGUAGCCUGCUUUGUUAGUUUUCGGUUAAAUCCAUACGCUCAACGUAUGGGCUGCCGGGAAUACUGCAAAGCUAGGGAGUGGGAGAGGUAGACGGUACUCGGUAGGAAGGGGUAAAAUCCUUUGAUCUAUUGAUGACCACCUGUGGCGAAGGCGGUCUACCAGAACACGUCCGACGGUGAGGGAUGAAAGCUGGGGGAGCAAACCGGAUUAGAGACCCCAGUAGUCC
RNAcentral lists this ribosomal RNA (270 nucleotides) under uncultured archaeon. Its description in RNAcentral is "partial 16S ribosomal RNA". It matches the Rfam family "Archaeal small subunit ribosomal RNA", at positions 477 to 747 of the family's 1478-position model. The record is from RNAcentral.